Molecule: ribosomal RNA, 468 nt
Filed under: uncultured Veillonella sp.
Lineage: Bacteria; Bacillati; Bacillota; Negativicutes; Veillonellales; Veillonellaceae
Description: bacterial SSU rRNA
Rfam family: Bacterial small subunit ribosomal RNA
Source: RNAcentral
GACGAACGCUGGCGGCGUGCUUAACACAUGCAAGUCGAACGAAGAACGAUGGAAGCUUGCUUCUAUCAAUCUUAGUGGCGAACGGGUGAGUAACGCGUAAUCAACCUGCCCUUCAGAGGGGGACAACAGUUGGAAACGACUGCUAAUACCGCAUACGAUCCAAUCUCGGCAUCGAGACUGGAUGAAAGGUGGCCUCUAUUUAUAAGCUAUCACUGAAGGAGGGGAUUGCGUCUGAUUAGCUAGUUGGAGGGGUAACGGCCCACCAAGGCGAUGAUCAGUAGCCGGUCUGAGAGGAUGAACGGCCACAUUGGGACUGAGACACGGCCCAGACUCCUACGGGAGGCAGCAGUGGGGAAUCUUCCGCAAUGGACGAAAGUCUGACGGAGCAACGCCGCGUGAGUGAUGACGGCCUUCGGGUUGUAAAGCUCUGUUAAUCGGGACGAAUGGUUCUUGUGCGAAUAGUGCGAG